This 301-nucleotide ribosomal RNA is filed under the name uncultured bacterium. RNAcentral's name for it is "partial 16S ribosomal RNA". It matches the Rfam family "Bacterial small subunit ribosomal RNA", at positions 509 to 807 of the family's 1533-position model. The record is from RNAcentral.
CAGUAGCCACGGGAAUACGGAGGGUGCAAGCGUUACUCGGAAUCACUGGGCGUAAAGGACGCGUAGGCGGAUUAUCAAGUCUCUUGUGAAAUCUAACGGCUUAACCGUUAAACUGCUUGGGAAACUGAUAACCUAGAGUAAGGGAGAGGCAGAUGGAAUUCUUGGUGUAGGGGUAAAAUCCGUAGAUAUCAAGAAGAAUACCUAUUGUGAAGGCGAUCUGCUGGAACUUAACUGACGCUAAUGCGUGAAAGCGUGGGGAGCAAACAGGAUUAGAUACCCGCGUAGUCCCUGUCUCUUAUAC